AUUGAACGCUGGCGGCAGGCCUAACACAUGCAAGUCGAGCGGAUGAAGGGAGCUUGCUCCUGGAUUCAGCGGCGGACGGGUGAGUAAUGCCUAGGAAUCUGCCUGGUAGUGGGGGAUAACGUCCGGAAACGGGCGCUAAUACCGCAUACGUCCUGAGGGAGAAAGUGGGGGAUCUUCGGACCUCACGCUAUCAGAUGAGCCUAGGUCGGAUUAGCUAGUUGGUGGGGUAAAGGCCUACCAAGGCGACGAUCCGUAACUGGUCUGAGAGGAUGAUCAGUCACUGGAACUGAGACACGGUCCAGACUCCUAAGGGAGGCAGCAGUGGGGAAUAUUGGACAAUGGGCGAAAGCCUGAUCCAGCCAUGCCGCGUGUGUGAAGAAGGUCUUCGGAUUGUAAAGCACUUUAAGUUGGGAGGAAGGGCAGUAAGUUAAUACCUUGCUGUUUUGACGUUACCAACAGAAUAAGCACCGGCUAACUUCGUG
RNAcentral lists this ribosomal RNA (482 nucleotides) under uncultured bacterium. Its description in RNAcentral is "partial 16S ribosomal RNA". It matches the Rfam family "Bacterial small subunit ribosomal RNA", at positions 30 to 507 of the family's 1533-position model. The record is from RNAcentral.